GGGGUAGACGUGGAUUUGACAGCAUGAAGAAUAGGUAUGUAAGCAUGUCGGGCGUAGUGAAGCCGGCCCGUAAAUCCCGGACGCAAAAUUUUAAUUGGCGAAAGAAAUUACGCUCUUGCUGCCUAAUCGAAUCAUAGUAGAUUGAGGCUUAAUCUCCGCUCAAGGUAGUGGAGACGAGACAUCCCGCUGGCGGUCCUACCUUGUGCCAACCAGCAUCCGGGGUGCAGGCAAUACGAGGUUAGUCAACAUCUUGUUUCGUGGUGCUGAUGAAAUAACAGAAACUAAGGUAUAGUUUGGGUGCUUUUUUCCGGGCUAUAUUCGAAAACCAACAAAAAGCUAAGCAUGUAGAAAGCAUAUGGAUUCCGUGUUUGGACUGGGGUUCGAUCCCCCACUACUCCACCA
Non-coding RNA from Butyricimonas synergistica, 402 nucleotides. The record is from Rfam. Lineage: Bacteria; Pseudomonadati; Bacteroidota; Bacteroidia; Bacteroidales; Odoribacteraceae.